This 541-nucleotide ribosomal RNA is filed under the name uncultured eukaryote. Its description in RNAcentral is "SSU rRNA". It matches the Rfam family "Eukaryotic small subunit ribosomal RNA", at positions 202 to 746 of the family's 1831-position model. The record is from RNAcentral.
UGUAUUUAUUAGAUUAAAAACCAAUGCCCUUCGGGGCUCCUUGGUGAUUCAUAAUAACUUAACGAAUCGCAUGGCCUUGUGCCGGCGAUGGUUCAUUCAAAUUUCUGCCCUAUCAACUUUCGAUGGUAGUAUAUGGGACUACCAUGGUUUCAACGGGUAACGGGGAAUUAGGGUUCUAUUCCGGAGAGGGAGCCUGAGAAACGGCUACCACAUCCAAGGAAGGCAGCAGGCGCGCAAAUUACCCAAUCCCGACACGGGGAGGUAGUGACAAUAAAUACUGAUACAGGGCUCUUUUGGGUCUUGUAAUUGGAAUGAGUACAAUUUAAAUCCCUUAACGAGGGACAAUUGGAGGGCAAGUCUGGUGCCAGCAGCCGCGGUAAUACCAGCUCCAAUAGCGUAUAUUAAAGUUGUUGCAGUUAAAAAGCUCGUAGUUGAACCUUGGGCCUGGCUGGCCGGUCCGCCUCACCGCGUGCACUGGUCCGGCCGGGUCUUUCCUCCUGGGGAGCCGCAUGCCCUUCACUGGGUGUGUCGGGGAACCAGG